Molecule: ribosomal RNA, 477 nt
Filed under: uncultured bacterium
Lineage: Bacteria
Description: partial 16S ribosomal RNA
Rfam family: Bacterial small subunit ribosomal RNA
Source: RNAcentral
AUUGAACGCUGGCGGCAUGCCUUACACAUGCAAGUCGAACGGUAACAGGUUAAGCUGCCGAGUGGCGAACGGGUGAGUAAUACAUCGGAACGUGCCCAGUAGUGGGGGAUAGCCCGGCGAAAGCCGGAUUAAUACCGCAUACGACCUAAGGGUGAAAGGGGGGGAUCGCAAGACCUCUCGCUAUUGGAGCGGCCGAUGUCAGAUUAGCUAGUUGGUGGGGUAAAAGCUCACCAAGGCGACGAUCUGUAGCUGGUCUGAGAGGACGACCAGCCACACUGGGACUGAGACACGGCCCAGACUCCUACGGGAGGCAGCAGUGGGGAAUUUUGGACAAUGGGCGCAAGCCUGAUCCAGCCAUGCCGCGUGCGGAAAGAAGGCCUUCGGGUUGUAAACCGCUUUUGUCAGGGAAGAAAUCCUUUGGGUUAAUACCUCGGGGGGAUGACGGUACCUGAAGAAUAAGCACCGGCUAACUACGUG